This is a transfer RNA of Camelus ferus (Wild Bactrian camel), 72 nucleotides long. It matches the Rfam family "tRNA". Rfam says of the family: Transfer RNA (tRNA) molecules are approximately 80 nucleotides in length. Their secondary structure includes four short double-helical elements and three loops (D, anti-codon, and T loops). Further hydrogen bonds mediate the characteristic L-shaped molecular structure. tRNAs have two regions of fundamental functional importance: the anti-codon, which is responsible for specific mRNA codon recognition, and the 3' end, to which the tRNAs corresponding amino acid is attached (by aminoacyl-tRNA synthetases). tRNAs cope with the degeneracy of the genetic code in two manners: having more than one tRNA (with a specific anti-codon) for a particular amino acid; and 'wobble' base-pairing, i.e. permitting non-standard base-pairing at the 3rd anti-codon position. The record is from Rfam. Lineage: Eukaryota; Metazoa; Chordata; Mammalia; Artiodactyla; Camelidae.
GAGGGUAUAGCUCAGUGGUAGAGCGCAUGCUUAGCAUGCAGGAGGUCCUGGGUUUAAUUCUCAGUAUUUCCA